Molecule: long non-coding RNA, 304 nt
Organism: Sciurus carolinensis (gray squirrel)
Lineage: Eukaryota; Metazoa; Chordata; Mammalia; Rodentia; Sciuridae
Exons: 3
Source: RefSeq, a predicted model, not a curated record
CUUAGGAGGCUACUGGGUAGCUCAGGCCAGAGAUGAUGGUGGUUCAGACCUCAGAGAUGGGGCAGAUGAAAAGUGGUCCUAUUAGAGACAACAGAAAUCACUGAGAAACUACGUGAGAGAAAGAGACAUCAAGAAAGGCUCCUGCUGUAAGGCCAAGCCUGGAGGACUUAGUUGAAGAAAGAAAGUCUGGAGGUGUGCCCUGGAAAGGGUUGUUUCUCCUUUGGGUCAUGGGAGAAGAUGUGUCUCCAAAGAAGAGUCCAAGAAAUUCCCCUAGAGAAAGGGAAGCUCAACUCAGGAUCACUGG